This 67-nucleotide transfer RNA is filed under the name Marmota monax (woodchuck). RNAcentral describes it as "tRNA.Ala". It matches the Rfam family "tRNA". Rfam says of the family: Transfer RNA (tRNA) molecules are approximately 80 nucleotides in length. Their secondary structure includes four short double-helical elements and three loops (D, anti-codon, and T loops). RNAcentral also lists the same sequence under 2 other names. Lineage: Eukaryota; Metazoa; Chordata; Mammalia; Rodentia; Sciuridae. The record is from RNAcentral.
GGUUGUAGCUCAGUGGUAGAGCACUUGCCUAGCAUGUGUGAAGCACUGGGUUCGAUUCUCAGCACCA